Molecule: ribosomal RNA, 418 nt
Filed under: uncultured bacterium
Lineage: Bacteria
Description: bacterial SSU rRNA
Rfam family: Bacterial small subunit ribosomal RNA
Source: RNAcentral
UAUUGGUCAAUGGGCGAGAGCCUGAACCAGCCAAGUAGCGUGAAGGAUGAAGGUCCUACGGAUUGUAAACUUCUUUUAUAAGGGAAUAAAACGCUCCACGUGUGGAGCCUUGUAUGUACCCUAUGAAUAACCAUCGGCUAACUCCGUGCCAGCAGCCGCGGUAAUACGGAGGAUGCGAGCGUUAUCCGGAUUUAUUGGGUUUAAAGGGAGCGCAGACGGGAUGUUAAGUCAGUUGUGAAAGUUUGCGGCUCAACCGUAAAAUUGCAGUUGAUACUGGCGUUCUUGAGUGCAGUUGAGGUGUGCGGAAUUCGUGGUGUAGCGGUGAAAUGCUUAGAUAUCACGAAGAACUCCGAUUGCGAAGGCAGCUCGCUAAACUGUAACUGACGUUCAUGCUCGAAAGUGUGGGUAUCAAACAGGA